GACGAACGCUGGCGGCGUGCUUAACACAUGCAAGUCGAACGGAAAGGCCCUGCUUUUGUGGGGUGCUCGAGUGGCGAACGGGUGAGUAACGCGUGAGUAACCUGCCCUUGACUUUGGGAUAACUUCAGGAAACUGGGGCUAAUACCGGAUAGGAGCUCCUGCUGCAUGGUGGGGGUUGGAAAGUUUCGGCGGUUGAGGAUGGACUCGCGGCUUAUCAGCUUGUUGGUGGGGUAGUGGCUUACCAAGGCUUUGACGGGUAGCCGGCCUGAGAGGGUGACCGGCCACAUUGGGACUGAGAUACGGCCCAGACUCCUACGGGAGGCAGCAGUGGGGAAUAUUGCACAAUGGGCGGAAGCCUGAUGCAGCAACGCCGCGUGCGGGAUGACGGCCUUCGGGUUGUAAACCGCUUUCGCCUGUGACGAAGCGUGAGUGACGGUAAUGGGUAAAGAAGCACCGGCUAACUACGUG
Molecule: ribosomal RNA, 468 nt
Filed under: uncultured bacterium
Lineage: Bacteria
Description: partial 16S ribosomal RNA
Rfam family: Bacterial small subunit ribosomal RNA
Source: RNAcentral